This 71-nucleotide transfer RNA is filed under the name Marmota monax (woodchuck). RNAcentral describes it as "tRNA.Ser". The record is from RNAcentral. Lineage: Eukaryota; Metazoa; Chordata; Mammalia; Rodentia; Sciuridae.
GGGGUUGUGGCUCAGUGGUAGAGUGCUUGCUUUGAACAUAUGAGGCACUGGGUUCACUCCUCAGCACCACA